Molecule: ribosomal RNA, 527 nt
Filed under: Rhodocybe pallidogrisea
Lineage: Eukaryota; Fungi; Basidiomycota; Agaricomycetes; Agaricales; Entolomataceae
Description: partial small subunit ribosomal RNA
Rfam family: Bacterial small subunit ribosomal RNA
Source: RNAcentral
GAACUAGCUAACNGAAAUCAUAAAAUCAUGAAUAAUGGUGAUAUGAUAACGUAAGGGAAAAAAACGAUAUUACCUUACUAUUAGUGUUGUCCAAAGCUGGUGCCAGAAGACUCGGUAAGGCCAGAGACGCAAACGUUAGUCGUCCUAAUCAGGCGUAAAGGGUAUGUAGGCUGCUUUGAAAGUUUUAUUUAUAAUAGCUCUUUUUUUUUUUUUAAUUUUAAAAAUUUAAAACGAAUAAAUAAAAUAAUUAAAAGCUAGAAUCAUAAGGAAGAUAAGCCAAAUAAUACUUAGAGUAGGGGUAAUAUCUGCAAAUACUAAGGAGAAUACUAACGGUGUAAACUUUUUAUCUAAUAAUGAUUGACGCUGAGAAACGAAGGUGAGAACAGGAAAUAGGAUUAGAGACCCAGAUACCUCUCACUGUAAACGAUGAAUGGUGGUUGUUAGUAAUAAUAAAACUGAUAGCGAUGUUAACACGAUAACCAUUCCGCCUUGCGAGUACGGUUGCAAAACUGAAACCAAAAAAAUUA